This is a long non-coding RNA of Haliotis rufescens (red abalone), 1591 nucleotides long. RefSeq lists it as uncharacterized. The record is from RefSeq and is a predicted model, not a curated record. NCBI's taxonomy places the organism in Eukaryota, Metazoa, Mollusca, Gastropoda, Lepetellida, Haliotidae. The transcript has 2 exons.
GUCAUGUUUUCCUCAAUAUUUAUAUAAUAGUUAACUGUGGUAAUAGUUUUUAUUGUGUUAUAUUAAGUUAAAUGUAAGGUGCUGUAUUCAAUCAGUCUCACAUGUGAAGGUCGCAGCUAUCUAGAAAAUUACAUAACAUCCUUGGAGCAUGGUCAGUAUUAUCUAUCUGUACGUGUCUCAGCCUCUAUCGAAAUGAGCGCUUGUCACACGUUUGCUGAUACGUCCAACUCAUAUCAAUAUUUUCGGACUACUUCAUCAAUUAUUAUUCAACUUAUGUGGACAUCACUUGGUCAAACUUCUUAGGCAAGCCUUAAUCCCUAUUCUCGGCGCACGAACUCAAAUUUUCUUAUCAAGCUGAUAAUUGAACAUGCAGUAAAUUCGUGACCAUUCAAGGUGUCUAGAGUAUAUAUACUGGCUAGCCCCGGGGGUACCUCACUGUCGAGAAAUCCCCAAUAAAGGGGCUGGCCAUAGACACUUUGUUUGGUUUCUUUGAAGGUGGUGCCCGAUCCCGAGCUAAUUCCCCAAGGCUAAUUCUAGAUAUUGUGACGGUUUGAAUACGAAAGUGUCAAACCAUCAUAAUUAUAACAACGUGCUGUGUUUGGGUCUGAGGAGCUGGCGACGCUGAUAGUGAUUAUAUUAACAUGGGGAAAACGAACAAAGUUUGACAAAUAUGUUAUCACGUUGAAUGCCAUAUAUUAAGAACUUGGAAAUGGUGAAAUAAGGGAAUAUUACAACUAACGACCACGUUCCAUUAUCUUUAGACUUAGAAUGUAAGACGUUAAUAUCUGUAUCUGUAUCAAUCAGAUGUUUAUCAUCCACCCUUAUCAAAUCACACGUACCACGAAAACAUUCGUUGCAUACUAGCAUCGUGUAAACUUUAAUUCUUAUUAAACUUCACUCAGAAACAUCUUUAUCAUCAACACCUCGGUCAAACUAAAUUAUAUAAUUCUGUCUAGAUAGCGCCGCGAAAGUUCGCAAAAACAACUUUAUCGACAGUAAAUGAGACUAUCUGUUAUUCCUAGAAUAGGUAUAAAUACGGACGACAGACAGUCAGAAAUCAGUCUGUGGCUGUCUAAUAAACUGACUGUUUACUCAGGUACGAAACCUUACUAUCUUGUACUAUGUUAAUUCUUAACUAUAUGCCAUUACCCUUGGCAAUACCUGCAAGUUUAAUUGGUAACUGAAAAUGUCAUACUUGUGUGUAUAUCUUAGCUGUUCCCAUUGUACUACUUCUGUGUAUAGAUUAUGCCAAUCAUGUUAGUUUAUCGUUUGGAAUAUGUAUUGUGGCUGAACUGAAUGUAUCUUGUGUGAAUACCCACUCGGGUAAUGUAUAAGUUAGAGUGUGUCGGGUAUAUUAUAUUCAAUCAUAUGUAAACUGUUGUAUUACGUUGUGUACCUUGGAAUAUGUAUCGUGACUUAUGCAGUAUGUAUCUUGUGUAAUGAUUCUAUAUCAUGUUCAUCUGAUGUUCUUCACAUAUAUGUACUUCUAUUACUUAUUGUAAACAUUCUCUAAUAAUUGAUUGUAAACAUUUCUAUUUGACUGAUUAUGUAUAAGAUUCUGUCGCUGUCUAAUAAACUGACUGUCUAUUCA